RNAcentral lists this ribosomal RNA (675 nucleotides) under actinobacterium R2_11. RNAcentral's name for it is "bacterial SSU rRNA". It matches the Rfam family "Bacterial small subunit ribosomal RNA", at positions 71 to 758 of the family's 1533-position model. The record is from RNAcentral. Lineage: Bacteria; Bacillati; Actinomycetota; Actinomycetes.
AACUCCAGCUUGCUGGGGGGAUUAGUGGCGAACGGGUGAGUAACACGUGAGUAACCUGCCCUGGACUCUGGGAUAACCCCGAGAAAUCGGAGCUAAUACCGGAUAGGACCUUGAACCGCAUGGUUUGGGGUGGAAAGUUUUUCGGUCUGGGAUGGACUCGCGGCCUAUCAGCUUGUUGGUGAGGUAAUGGCUCACCAAGGCGUCGACGGGUAGCCGGCCUGAGAGGGUGACCGGCCACACUGGGACUGAGACACGGCCCAGACUCCUACGGGAGGCAGCAGUGGGGAAUAUUGCACAAUGGGCGCAAGCCUGAUGCAGCAACGCCGCGUGCGGGAUGACGGCCUUCGGGUUGUAAACCGCUUUUAGUAAGGAAGAAGGGAAGCGCAAGCUUUUUGACGGUACUUGCAGAAAAAGGACCGGCUAACUACGUGCCAGCAGCCGCGGUAAUACGUAGGGUCCGAGCGUUGUCCGGAAUUAUUGGGCGUAAAGAGCUCGUAGGCGGUUUGUCGCGUCUGCUGUGAAAUCCCGAGGCUCAACCUCGGGUCUGCAGUGGGUACGGGCAGACUGGAGUGCGGUAGGGAGAAUGGAAUUCUGGUGUAGCGGUGGAAUGCGCAGAUAUCAGAGAACACGAUGGCGAAGGCAGUUCUCUGGGCCGUAACUGACGCUGAGACGAAA